This 395-nucleotide ribosomal RNA is filed under the name uncultured bacterium. Its description in RNAcentral is "bacterial SSU rRNA". It matches the Rfam family "Bacterial small subunit ribosomal RNA", at positions 505 to 898 of the family's 1533-position model. The record is from RNAcentral.
GUGUCAGCAGCCGCGGUAAGACGAACCGUGCGAACGUUGUUCGGAAUCACUGGGCUUAAAGGGUGCGUAGGCGGCUGCGUAAGUCGGGUGUGAAAUCCCUCGGCUCAACCGAGGAAUUGCGCCCGAUACUGCGUAGCUCGAGGAAGGUAGGGGCGCGUGGAACUUCCGGUGGAACGGUGAAAUGUAUUGAUAUCGGAAGGAACGCCGGUGGCGAAAGCGGCGCGCUGGGCCUUUUCUGACGCUGAGGCACGAAAGCUAGGGUAGCGAACGGGAUUAGAUACCCCGGUAGUCCUAGCCGUAAACGAUGAGCACUUGGUUGAGGAGGUUCCGAUGCCUUCUCAGCCGAAGCAAAAGUGUUAAGUGCUCCGCCUGGGGAGUAUGGUCGCAAGACUGAA